GGAAGCAGCAAGGAGCUUUGCAGAGAGCUUAGGUGAAAAGUGAAGAAUGCAGACAGCUGAGCAUGAAGGUUGGUGAGCAGGGCAUCAGCAGGACGGAAGACAAGUGCCUGACCUCUUGCCUAGGCGAUGGAGUACUUAAGUGAGCUUACUUGGACAUUGCAGAAGUGAAAAGGAAUGAGAAAGAAAUAAAGCGCUGCAAAUUUUAUAUCCUGAAGUUUUUAACAGCUAAUGAGCCUGACUCUCCCACGAAGAAUGGACCACUGUGAUCAAACAUGGGCAAAGGGAUGGAAGCGACUGAAGAAAGUGACUCAUCGAUGUUGGCAGCGAUCCUUUUAAUUACUGUGUUCUGGUUCUUCCAGUCAUACCGGACUUAGUCCUAUGCCAUCGGAUGGUCAGUGCUGUUCUUUCUGAAGGAAAUUCCAGAACCUUUUAAUCUUCCAAGUCCUAAGUUGCUUCCACUGUGCAACAGAAUCAGAUACAUGCUACUACUGUGUGGAAUUUUUUACCAACUAGUGAGGCAAUGGUUCUAGUUGUUCUUCUGUUUUUUCUGUGAGAAAAACAAGACAAUUAUCUGAGUUUCAGAAAACUAAAACAAAAUAAGCAUCAUCGAAAUGUCCAGCACAUUAAGUCCGUAGAAGUAGUCAACUAAGACUCUGAAGACAUUAUUAGCACUGUGUCUGAAGACUAAAUGUGAACAUACCCAGUCUUACCAGGAAACGAGUUCCUACUAUCUUUGAAAGCAAAUGGCUUUCCGUGAAGAUCUGGAACACAAAAAGAAAUCAGACAGCGAAGCCUACCCUAAUACAAGCCCAGGCUUGUAGCUCCCCAUACAACAGUGAUGACCAGACACUGAAACCCUUCACUCCUGUGAAUACAUUCUUUGAAACAGUUUUGUAUCCUUAAACAGCUGUCAGAGGCGGUGCUCAUGCUGAAUUUGGAAAAGAUGCCAAACGUAAGGCUGCACUGCAAUAACGACCUCUCAGCGCAUUGCACCCUCUGCCACCUACCUUCUGACUUUCUGGGUACCCUAACUUCGGACUCACUCCAUAAUCGCUCCUCUGUCCUGUGGAUCUCAGGUCAUUUCAUUCACUCUUCCACUUGCUAUCCUG
This is a long non-coding RNA of Fukomys damarensis (Damara mole-rat), 1109 nucleotides long. RefSeq lists it as uncharacterized. The record is from RefSeq and is a predicted model, not a curated record. Lineage: Eukaryota; Metazoa; Chordata; Mammalia; Rodentia; Bathyergidae. The transcript is spliced from 5 exons.